This 309-nucleotide ribosomal RNA is filed under the name uncultured bacterium. RNAcentral's name for it is "partial 16S ribosomal RNA". It matches the Rfam family "Bacterial small subunit ribosomal RNA", at positions 504 to 808 of the family's 1533-position model. The record is from RNAcentral.
AGAGACAGCAGCAGCCACGGUAAUACGUAGGUCCCGAGCGUUGUCCGGAUUUAUUGGGCGUAAAGCGAGCGCAGGCGGUUAGAUAAGUCUGAAGUUAAAGGCUGUGGCUUAACCAUAGUAUGCUUUGGAAACUGUUUAACUUGAGUGCAGAAGGGGAGAGUGGAAUUCCAUGUGUAGCGGUGAAAUGCGUAGAUAUAUGGAGGAACACCGGUGGCGAAAGCGGCUCUCUGGUCUGUAACUGACGCUGAGGCUCGAAAGCGUGGGGAGCAAACAGGAUUAGAUACCCGUGUAGUCCCUGUCUCUUAUACA